Molecule: long non-coding RNA, 307 nt
Organism: Vidua macroura (Pin-tailed whydah)
Lineage: Eukaryota; Metazoa; Chordata; Aves; Passeriformes; Viduidae
Exons: 3
Source: RefSeq, a predicted model, not a curated record
GCCUGGCAGCACUCGGAUUUGGGCAGCAAGGAGCUGGAGAAAGAGCCCUCGCUGAUGGCCAUCUUUUCUGGCAGGAGCAACCAAAGGAAGCAGCAAAUUAGAGGAGCACAAACUAAGGAAAAGGAUUUAACCUGCUCUAGGCUGUGAGAAGAGCUUCCCUCUUGCUCAUUUUCGACCUAACCACAAAAAAGUGAAAUAAAAUGCUGCUGGCAGUGAGAAAGGAGGGUUUCCAUCUGACUGCACAGCAGUACCUCAGUCCUCAUCAGUGAUUUUUAAUUAAUGAAAAUGAUGAAUGCAGAGAGUUGUG